GUAGAGCACUGUUUCGGCUAGGGGGUCAUCCCGACUUACCAACCCGAUGCAAACUACGAAUACCGAAGAAUGUUAUCACGGGAGACACACGGCGGGUGCUAACGUCCGUCGUGAAGAGGGAAACAACCCAGACCGCCAGCUAAGGUCCCAAAGUCAUGGUUAAGUGGGAAACGAUGUGGGAAGGCACAGACAGCCAGGAUGUUGGCUUAGAAGCAGCCAUCAUUUAAAG
This 229-nucleotide ribosomal RNA is filed under the name Acinetobacter baumannii. RNAcentral describes it as "partial 23S ribosomal RNA". It matches the Rfam family "Bacterial large subunit ribosomal RNA", at positions 902 to 1128 of the family's 2925-position model. The record is from RNAcentral. Lineage: Bacteria; Pseudomonadati; Pseudomonadota; Gammaproteobacteria; Moraxellales; Moraxellaceae.